AUUGAACGCUGGCGGCAUGCUUUACACAUGCAAGUCGAACGGCAGCGCGGGCUUCGGCCUGGCGGCGAGUGGCGAACGGGCGAGUAAUGCAUCGGAACGUGCCCAGUAGUGGGGGCUAGCCCGGCGAAAGCCGGAUUAAUACCGCAUCCGACCUGAGGGUGAAAGCGGGGGACCGAAAGGCCUCGCGCGAUUGGAGCGGCCGAUGUCGGAUUAGCUAGUUGGUGGGGUAAAGGCUUACCAAGGCGACGAUCCGUAGCUGGUCUGAGAGGACGACCAGCCACACUGGAACUGAGACACGGCCCAGACUCCUACGGGAGGCAGCAGUGGGGAAUUUUGGACAAUGGGGGCAAGCCUGAUCCAGCCAUGCCGCGUGCGGGAAGAAGGCCUUCGGGUUGUAAACCGCUUUUGUUCGGGAAGAAAUCCUCUGGGCUAAUACCCCGGGGGGAUGACGGUACCGGAAGAAUAAGCACCGGCUAACUACGUG
Molecule: ribosomal RNA, 484 nt
Filed under: uncultured bacterium
Lineage: Bacteria
Description: partial 16S ribosomal RNA
Rfam family: Bacterial small subunit ribosomal RNA
Source: RNAcentral